UAAGAAUCACUUCAGGAUAUGCAGAUAGAGUCCUGCACUGACUUGCCAAGCAGUAACUGAUUGGAAAUCUGUCUGUGACUGAUAACCAGGUUAGACAGCAACUAUCUGAUCAGUUAUGCCGGCUGAUGUCAGAGGCUGGUAAGCUCUUAAUGUACCUCAGCUGAACCCAGAACAGCAGAUGUGAUGACAGCCCACAGCAUCUAGUAGCUGUCUGUGUUUCUGGUGGCAGCCGGUUCUCUUUCAAGCAAACAUGGCAUGGAGGUAGGACUGGAUUUGGUGUUAAGAAGAAUGUGGCAAGGCUGGGACGGUAGGACACU
This 317-nucleotide long non-coding RNA is filed under the name Anser brachyrhynchus (Pink-footed goose). RNAcentral's name for it is "lncRNA (ENSABRG00000012558.1)". Lineage: Eukaryota; Metazoa; Chordata; Aves; Anseriformes; Anatidae. The record is from RNAcentral.